Molecule: signal recognition particle RNA, 298 nt
Filed under: Cebus imitator (Panamanian white-faced capuchin)
Lineage: Eukaryota; Metazoa; Chordata; Mammalia; Primates; Cebidae
Description: Metazoan signal recognition particle RNA (ENSCCAG00000012366.1)
Rfam family: Metazoan signal recognition particle RNA
About the family: The signal recognition particle (SRP) is a universally conserved ribonucleoprotein. It is involved in the co-translational targeting of proteins to membranes. The eukaryotic SRP consists of a 300-nucleotide 7S RNA and six proteins: SRPs 72, 68, 54, 19, 14, and 9.
Source: RNAcentral
GCCAGAUGCGAUAGCAUGUGACUGUAAUCCCAGCUAUUCGGAGGCUGAGGCAGGAGGAUCUCUUGAGCCCUGGAGUUCUGGGCUGUAGUGCACUAUGUAAAUCGGGUGUCCACACUCAGUUUGGCAUCAAUAUGGUGACCUCCUAAGAGCAAGGGACCACCAUAUUGCCUAAGGAUGGGUGAACUGGUCUGGGUUGAAAAUGGAGCAAGUCAAAACUUCUAUGCUGAUCAGUAAUAGGAUUGUGCCUGUGAAUAGCCACUGCACUGAAGCCUGGGCAACAUAGCGAGACCCUGUCUCU